GCACUGCCAAAGAGUCCCACAAUAGGACGAAACGGCCGUCCAGUGC
Non-coding RNA from Schistosoma rodhaini, 46 nucleotides. NCBI's taxonomy places the organism in Eukaryota, Metazoa, Platyhelminthes, Trematoda, Strigeidida, Schistosomatidae. The record is from Rfam.